AUUGAACGCUGCGGCAUGCCUUACACAUGCAAGUCGAACGGCAGCACGGGAGCAAUCCUGGUGGCGAGUGGCGAACGGGUGAGUAAUAUAUCGGAACGUGCCCAGUCGUGGGGGAGUAACGCAGCGAAAGUUGUGCUAAUACCGCAUACGAUCUAUGGAUGAAAGCGGGGGAUCGCAAGACCUCGCGCGAUUGGAGCGGCCGAUAUCAGAUUAGGUUGUUGGUGAGGUAAAAGCUCGACCAAGCCUGCGAUCUGUAGCUGGUCUGAGAGGACGACCAGCCACACUGGAACUGAGACACGGUCCAGACUCCUACGGGAGGCAGCAGUGGGGAAUUUUGGACAAUGGACGAAAGUCUGAUCCAGCAAUGCCGCGUGCAGGACGAAGGCCUUCGGGUUGUAAACUGCUUUUGUACAGAACGAAAAAGUCUUUAAUAACACUAGAGGCUCAUGACGGUACUGUAAGAAUAAGCACCGGCUAACUACGUG
RNAcentral lists this ribosomal RNA (485 nucleotides) under uncultured bacterium. RNAcentral's name for it is "bacterial SSU rRNA". It matches the Rfam family "Bacterial small subunit ribosomal RNA", at positions 30 to 507 of the family's 1533-position model. The record is from RNAcentral.